GGAUGUGAGGGUGAUCUGGCUGCGAUAUCUGUCACCCCAUUGAUCACCAGGGUUGAUUCGGCUGAUCUGGAUGGCUAAGCAAGUGUCCCCUUACUCCCUCGCUGCUCCAUGUGCAUCCCUCCCGAAGCUGCAUGCUCCGUGGAAGAGGACACACUUCCUUGAAUAGAGACAAACUGCACUCCCCUGCUAGAACCUCCAAACAAGCUCUCAGUAAAGACUAAUCACCUCCAGUUCCAUCCACUUUGUCCCAAAGGGCACAAU
This 261-nucleotide small nuclear RNA is filed under the name Erinaceus europaeus (western European hedgehog). RNAcentral's name for it is "7SK RNA". It matches the Rfam family "7SK RNA", at positions 1 to 246 of the family's 331-position model. From Rfam's summary of the family: 7SK was discovered as an abundant small nuclear RNA in the mid-70s but a possible function has only recently been suggested. The record is from Rfam by way of RNAcentral. Lineage: Eukaryota; Metazoa; Chordata; Mammalia; Eulipotyphla; Erinaceidae.